GUACUCGCUUUGGCAGCACAUAUAUUAAAAUUGGAAAGAUACAGAGAAGAUCAGCACGGCCCCUGCACAAGGGUGACAUGCAAAUUCAUGAAGCAUUCCAUAUUUUU
This 107-nucleotide small nuclear RNA is filed under the name Papio anubis (olive baboon). Lineage: Eukaryota; Metazoa; Chordata; Mammalia; Primates; Cercopithecidae. The record is from RNAcentral.